Molecule: long non-coding RNA, 1322 nt
Organism: Oreochromis niloticus (Nile tilapia)
Lineage: Eukaryota; Metazoa; Chordata; Actinopteri; Cichliformes; Cichlidae
Exons: 3
Source: RefSeq, a predicted model, not a curated record
UCAUUCCACAAUGGAAAAAAUUCAGGACAGUUGCCAGCUUUCAAAGUAGUGGAUUUUCUAAAACACACACGAGACUGUCAAGUGCUCAGAUAAACCGCAAAAACACCAACAGCUACAUCUACAGCAGAAUGGCUGAGAAAGAAAAGAACCAUUGUCAUGGUCCAGUCAUCAACCCAAAUGAAAUUAAUGCCACACAACCCGUCUAUGGGCCAGGUCAUAGUGUAGUGGGUUAGAUUUGGUAGAUGGUUUUUGCAUGGUGUCUUUGAAUGCCGCAUGAACAUUCACCCCUCCCUUGCUGUUAAUCAGAGCCGGGUUAUAAGGAGCAGCUAUAGCCUGUUCCUUGCAUUCAUUCCUGUUGAAGGUGGUGAAGAUCACAGGCUGUUUUUAGUGGAGAUACAGUUGCUUGUUGUGGGGGCUAGCCAUCUGUGGUGGAAUUUCCCCCCCUGGGAAACAAGUAUAACGCACCAUUUAAGUUGCAGUGAGGAUUGCAGAGAGACUACACUGGUGGUGUUGUCAACACCAUGUAGUUACCUUUACCAGGUUUCCUCCUGCACGCCACCACAAUAGCAUCAAUGCAGCACUUGGUUUCCCCCAGACCCAAGAAGCGACACGCGAUUGUGAUGUAAUGACAAUCACUUGACAUUACAUGGCGUUUAUUUACAAAGUAGUGGGGAAAGCAACAAGACAGGAGUGCCAACACUUUGGGGUGAGCUGAGGCCAAAAUAAUGAAGAAAACAAAGCUAAGCUCCAAUGCCCAUAACCUCAGAAAAAGUACCAAAACAAAGACAGUCUGACCUCCUUGUCCUAUCCAAAAACAGGAGAAAACUAUGGGUUUAAGGAAACGGAAGCUUACGCCUACCCACUCCCCUUCCUCACUACAGAGAACCUCAGCCAGCGACUGUCACAGGAGCAGCUGAUAAGGCUUUAGGUAAAGGAAGUGAAGCUCUGUCACUGGCAGCUCUCCAGGCCUAGGCCCUCUCAGGGGUGGUCUUCCAACAGCUGGAACCAGUCAUUCAGGAGCCGUACAUCCGCACACCACUCACAGCUGGGCAGCUGUACAACUGAACUACCAUUACAUCCAGUGUUAACACAGCUGCCAAAACAGUGUGCUGUUCAGACAGAAACAAACUGUCUAGCACUGCAAACUUCAGUGAACUGAAGUAACCUUAUACAGAGGAUGGGGUGAAAUUCCUCCACAUUUUAAGAGACUGAUGGUCAUACAAGGAAACCACUAUGACAAGUGGUUCUACAAGCGGCAUAAUCAAAUGUACGUUUUUGUUUGUUUUCUAUAUGAUUGUUUUUAUAUUUUGGAUUUUUUUUUU